This 457-nucleotide ribosomal RNA is filed under the name uncultured bacterium. RNAcentral describes it as "partial 16S ribosomal RNA". It matches the Rfam family "Bacterial small subunit ribosomal RNA", at positions 338 to 795 of the family's 1533-position model. The record is from RNAcentral.
CCUACGGGUGGCAGCAGUGGGGAAUAGUGCACAAUGGGGGAAACCCUGAUGCAGCGACGCCGCGUGAGUGAAGAAGGAUUUCGGUAUGUAAAGCUCUAUCAGCAGGGAAGAAAUAAAGUCCUGCGGACUUUGGACGGGACAGGACGAAGAAGCCCCGGCGAACUACGUGCCAGCAGCCGCGGUAAUACGUAGGGGGCAAGCGGUAGCCAGAUGUACUGGGUGUAAAGGGAGCGUAGACGGCAGCGCAAGUCUGGAGUGAAAUCCCCUGGCUUAACCAUGGAACUGCUUUGGAAACUGUGCAGCUGGAGUGCAGGAGAGGUCAUCGGAAUUCCUAGUGUAGCGGUUACAUGCGUAGAUAUUAGUCGGAACCCCAGUGGCGAAGGCGGCUUACUGGACUGUCCCUGACGUUGAGGCUCGACAGCGUGGGGAGCAAACAGGAUUAGAUACCCCAGUAGUC